GACGAACGCUGGCGGCGUGCUUAACACAUGCAAGUCGAACGGGCCUGUCUUCUUUUUUGGGGGUGGGUUGAGUGGCGAACGGGUGAGUAUCACGUGAGUAACCUGCCCUUCGGUCCUGGAUAGCCGCUUGAAAGGGCGGCUAAUACGGGGUGGUCCGGUUGGUCCGCAUGGGCUGGUCGGGAUAGAUUCACUGUUUUUGGUGUUUCGGCGGGGGAUGGGCUCGCGGCCUAUCAGCUUGUUGGUGGGGUGAUGGCCUACCAAGGCGGUGACGGGUAGCCGGGCUGAGAGGGGGGGCGGCCACACUGGGACUGAGAUACGGCCCAGACUCCUGCGGGAGGCAGCAGUGGGGGGUAUUGCACAAUGGGCGGAAGCCUGAUGCAGCGACGUCGCGUGAGGGAUGGAGGCCUUCGGGUUGUGAACCUCUGUUUCCGGUGGUGAAGGCCCUGUCCGUGUGGUGGGGUUGACGGUAGCCGGGGAUGAAGCGCCGGCUAACUACGUG
Molecule: ribosomal RNA, 499 nt
Filed under: uncultured bacterium
Lineage: Bacteria
Description: partial 16S ribosomal RNA
Rfam family: Bacterial small subunit ribosomal RNA
Source: RNAcentral